RNAcentral lists this ribosomal RNA (253 nucleotides) under uncultured bacterium. Its description in RNAcentral is "partial 16S ribosomal RNA". It matches the Rfam family "Bacterial small subunit ribosomal RNA", at positions 524 to 776 of the family's 1533-position model. The record is from RNAcentral.
UACGAAGGGGGCAAGCGUUGUUCGGAAUUACUGGGCGUAAAGGGCGCGUAGGCGGCUUAUCAAGUCAGGCGUGAAAUUCCCGGGCUCAACCUGGGGGCUGCGCUUGAUACUGAUGAGCUUGAAUGCGGGAGAGGAUAGUGGAAUUCCCAGUGUAGAGGUGAAAUUCGUAGAUAUUGGGAAGAACACCGGUGGCGAAGGCGGCUAUCUGGCCCGUAAUUGACGCUGAGGCGCGAAAGCCAGGGGAGCAAACGGG